AACCAACUGAGCAAUCCAGCCAGGGCUGAACAAUCUACUAAGUUUCAGGCAUUUUGUGCUGGAGCACUGGACUUGAUCUGGUCUGUCUUUUCAAGUACUGGAUUGGACUGCUACCACUGCUGGACCAAGCCUCAAGAUCAUGAAGCAAGCUAAAUUCCCCACUGCUAUGGCUCUGUGGCCUGCUCUGGGUAUUAACUGCACCUGCUUUCGGAGUAAAUGACUCAACAAAAAACUGGAACUGAAGCAAGAAAACGAAUAGCUCUGAUGAGUUUACUUGCCAAUACAACAGUCUCCCUGACCCUGCAAAGCAAGAGCCUCGGUUGUUCUACAUGUUUUUUUUUCCUCUGUUUGAAGUCAUAGUGUUUUCAGUUUGGCCAUCUUCUAAGGAGUUUGAACCUACGGAAGAACUAUCUUGACUAUCUUGAUGGGGGAGUUGAAGAAAUCCUUCACCGGAGUCUGAGCGGGACUUAGAUGCCUCAAUGAAUAGAAUGCAGGGGAAACGAUGCUGCAUGACUUCUGAGGCUUGGUCAUUAAAACAAAGAUGGUUUUCGUCUGACCAUGUUCUGACCAUGUUGUGAGAAAGCCAACAACUGCCCAUGGGAAGAGAUCACACAGAGAGGAAACGGAUACCCCCCUGCAGCUGAUAGCCAGCAUCCACCACCAGCCUUUCCAUCCUCCCGCCGAGGGCCCAGGGGCAAGUGGAGCAGAGGCAAACUGGCUCCCUGUACCUGUCCAAAUUCCCACCCACAGAAUCUGUGAGCAUAAUAAAUAAUUGUUUUAUACCACUAA
Long non-coding RNA from Myotis myotis, 789 nucleotides. RefSeq lists it as uncharacterized. NCBI's taxonomy places the organism in Eukaryota, Metazoa, Chordata, Mammalia, Chiroptera, Vespertilionidae. The record is from RefSeq and is a predicted model, not a curated record. The transcript is spliced from 5 exons.